Molecule: ribosomal RNA, 468 nt
Filed under: uncultured bacterium
Lineage: Bacteria
Description: partial 16S ribosomal RNA
Rfam family: Bacterial small subunit ribosomal RNA
Source: RNAcentral
GACGAACGCUGGCGGCGUGCUUAACACAUGCAAGUCGAACGGAAAGGCCCUGCUUUUGUGGGGUGCUCGAGUGGCGAACGGGUGAGUAACACGUGAGUAACCUGCCCUUGACUUUGGGAUAACUUCAGGAAACUGGGGCUAAUACCGGAUAGGAGCUCCUGCUGCAUGGUGGGGGUUGGAAAGUUUCGGCGGUUGGGGAUGGACUCGCGGCUUAUCAGUUUGUUGGUGGGGUAGUGGCUUACCAAGGCUUUGACGGGUAGCCGGCCUGAGAGGGUGACCGGCCACAUUGGGACUGAGAUACGGCCCAGACUCCUACGGGAGGCAGCAGUGGGGAAUAUUGCACAAUGGGCGGAAGCCUGAUGCAGCAACGCCGCGUGCGGGAUGACGGCCUUCGGGUUGUAAACCGCUUUCGCCUGUGACGGAGCGUGAGUGACGGUAAUGGGUAAAGAAGCACCGGCUAACUACGUG